This 531-nucleotide ribosomal RNA is filed under the name Arsenophonus endosymbiont of Colletes hederae. Its description in RNAcentral is "bacterial SSU rRNA". It matches the Rfam family "Bacterial small subunit ribosomal RNA", at positions 434 to 957 of the family's 1533-position model. Lineage: Bacteria; Pseudomonadati; Pseudomonadota; Gammaproteobacteria; Enterobacterales; Morganellaceae. The record is from RNAcentral.
UUUCAGUCGUGAGGAAGGUGUUAAGGUUAAUAUUCUUAGCAAUUGACGUUAGCGACAGAAGAAGCACCGGCUAACUCCGUGCCAGCAGCCGCGGUAAUACGGAGGGUGCGAGCGUUAAUCGGAAUUACUGGGCGUAAAGGGCACGCAGGCGGUUAAUUAAGUUGGAUGUGAAAUCCCCGGGCUUAACCUGGGAAUGGCAUUCAAGACUGGUUAGCUAGAGUCUUGUAGAGGGGGGUAGAAUUCCAUGUGUAGCGGUGAAAUGCGUAGAGAUGUGGAGGAAUACCGGUGGCGAAGGCGGCCCCCUGGACAGAGACUGACGCUCAUGUGCGAAAGCGUGGGGAGCAAACAGGAUUAGAUACCCUGGUAGUCCACGCUGUAAACGAUGUCGAUUUGGAGGUUGUGGUCAUGAACUGUGGCCUCCGGAGCUAACGCGGUAAAUCGACCGCCUGGGGAGUACGGCCGCAAGGUUAAAACUCAAAUGAAUUGACGGGGGCCCGCACAAGCGGUGGAGCAUGUGGUUUAAUUCGAUGC